Non-coding RNA from Mycena polygramma, 98 nucleotides. The record is from the annotation of a GenBank genome assembly. Lineage: Eukaryota; Fungi; Basidiomycota; Agaricomycetes; Agaricales; Mycenaceae.
GGCUCGGUUGCGCAUGGUUGCGCGUCUGUUGAAACUGUUGAGAUCGAGUCCUGCUCACAAUGCAAGCAGAAAAUCCCGUUCGAUUCGGGGCUGGGCCG